GCGGGAUCAUAUUAUACCUUACAGAAAGGUAAGGUGUGACAAUUCUCGAGAAGAAGCAGCUGCUACUAACCCUGCCUUGUCAGUAUGUAAAAAGGCUAUAUGGAUCUUUUUAUGCCAUUUAGCUCUGGUUGAAACCAAUUCCACAUCAAUAUUCAAAAAUUGUAAAUCUCUUGAUACUAUUUUCCCCUACUUCAUUUUAGGUCUCUCCCUUUUCUUUCUCACUCUUUCCACCACUAACUUAUAACACUUCAGCACUGAGGCAUUAGAAACUCAAUAUUAGACAUGACCAAACCAUCAUAAUCAAUUCUCUCAGAGUUCAUCCCCCGAUGUGUGGUACAUGCAUUCUUUGAUGUAUGUGAUCAUUACUAAUCUAUCCAUUAUCGUGUUGCCCAACGUUCACUCUCAUAAAACAUAGUUGGCCUUACUAUAGUUCCAUAGAAUUUACUUUUCACUUUGUCAGAGAUUAUACAAUCGCCUAGCACGCCUAUUGCAUUCCAUUUCAUCCAUCCAGUUUUAAUCUUAUUAGUUACAUCCUCAUCCAUUAGUUACUCUGUUCUUCUGAAUGAUAAAAUCUAAAUACUUGAAUCGAUAGCAUUUUGGCACCAAAACUCUAUCCAAUCGAACCUCACCUCUAUCCUUCUAUGAGAGCUGAACUCCCAAUGCAUAAAUUCCAUCUUACUUCUACUUAACCCAGAGCCCUUGCUUUCAAGAGUCUUUCUCCACAAUUUCAAUUUUUCCCUUUUGGUUAACUCUUUUAUUAGUUCCAUCUACUAAGACAACGUCAUCUGCAAAUAAACAUUUCAAUUUGAAAUACUUUUCAAAAUUCAAAAUAAUGCAAUCUAUUGCACGCUAUACAAGCAAUAAAUACAAAAAGAUUCAUUGAGAUUUUCCUUA
RNAcentral lists this unclassified non-coding RNA (894 nucleotides) under Hevea brasiliensis (rubber tree). Lineage: Eukaryota; Viridiplantae; Streptophyta; Magnoliopsida; Malpighiales; Euphorbiaceae. The record is from RNAcentral.